RNAcentral lists this long non-coding RNA (708 nucleotides) under Anolis carolinensis (green anole). RNAcentral's name for it is "lncRNA (ENSACAG00000034220.2)". The record is from RNAcentral. Lineage: Eukaryota; Metazoa; Chordata; Lepidosauria; Squamata; Anolidae.
AUGCUCAUGCAAAGUAUCUUGGGAUUUGUCCCAGGAGGCUCUGCAAGCUGGCAUGGUUCUUACGUAAGACGGACUGGGAAGAAGAGGCACCGCACACACAAUAAAUGCUUGUGCAACCCGAUAACAUGGACAAGAUCCUUGGAACGAGAUUUGAAUCCCCUAAGCUUGGCCCCAUGUAAGCCACCCCGAGUCCCUUUGGGGAGACGGAGACAAGUGAAUCUGGCAUGGGCAGCUGACAUUGAUGUUCCAGUUGACAUUUCUGUAAAUGAAGAGGGAACCCCAAAGGAAAACAAUGCAUCUGAAACCAACCCCAUAGAAGAUUCAGGGUCAAAUCCAGAAUCUUCUACAGAAGAGGAACCUGCUGAUGGUGAUCCAGAAUCUUCUACAGAAGAGGAACCUGCUGAUGGUGCUGCACCCUCUUGUACAGAAGUGCAACCUUCUGAUGAUGAUCAAGACCCUUCUGCUGAUGAAGCACCUUCUGAUGAUGAUUGGGAGCAAGCAGGAAGUGACAAUGAGAGUAAUUAUAUUGUAAAUAAAAUUUGGGAUCUGAUACUGUCAAUGCUAUUUAAGAGGCCAUUUCUGAUAUAGUCCUUAUUCCUGAAGAGCGAAUAUCCACCUUCUUCUCUAGAAGCAUUGGAAAUUGAAGUUUGGUCAUGACAUUAAUGAAUUGAAAUAAAUAAAACAACCUACCCUUUCUCAGCAAUAAAU